RNAcentral lists this ribosomal RNA (428 nucleotides) under uncultured bacterium. RNAcentral's name for it is "bacterial SSU rRNA". It matches the Rfam family "Bacterial small subunit ribosomal RNA", at positions 355 to 774 of the family's 1533-position model. The record is from RNAcentral.
UCGAGAGGCUUCGGCAAUGGGGGAAACCCUGACCGAGCGACGCCGCGUGGGUGAUGAAGAUCCUUGGAUCGUAAAACCCUGUCAGGUGGGAUGAAACCUCAUUUGGUUAAUACCUGAGUGAAUUGACAGUACCACCAGAGGAAGCUCCGGCUAACUCCGUGCCAGCAGCCGCGGUAACACGGGGGGAGCAAGCGUUGUUCGGAUUCAUUGGGCGUAAAGAGCUCGUAGGCGGCUUCGUAAGUCAGAGGUGAAAGGUUACGGCUCAACCGUGAGAACGCCUUUGAAACUACGAAGCUUGAGGCCGGGAGAGGAAAGUGGAAUUCCUGGAGUAGCGGUGAAAUGCGUAGAUAUCAGGAGGAACACCAGUGGCGAAGGCGACUUUCUGGACCGGUUCUGACGCUGAGGAGCGAAAGCAUGGGGAGCGAACA